This is a long non-coding RNA of Ictalurus punctatus (channel catfish), 969 nucleotides long. RefSeq lists it as uncharacterized. The transcript is spliced from 3 exons. The record is from RefSeq and is a predicted model, not a curated record. NCBI's taxonomy places the organism in Eukaryota, Metazoa, Chordata, Actinopteri, Siluriformes, Ictaluridae.
AGGACACAAGUUUUAUUUUAUACAUUUACAAAAUAUAUAAUUUAUUUUAAAAAAUUUGUAUGAUUUGCAUUUUUAUGCUAUAAUAUUUGUGAUUUUAUGUGAAACUAUUAUAAACAGGUGUCACUCAAGUGAAUUAAAUGAUGUAGAUAAUGACUGAAUCCUACUCUAUGGACCCUUAGUCUCUGUAUAAGAGGAUUUCACUGGAGAUGAAGUAAUAGAUUUAAACUCUAUGUAGAGCGCUCUCUCGUGGCUCCACCCACCACACACGUUCGAACCAAUCAUAUUAUCCUCCCUGGCGUCCAUGGGCGUGGCUAACCGCGUCUGUCUGUUAAAGGUAGCAGGUUGUACAUGGCGAGCGGGUUACUCACUGAGGACUGGUGAUUGGUGUAAUGGAAGCCGUCUCUGAACCGCAUUUAAUGACGGAGAAUUACAGAAUUGGAGAGAAAACGCAGCACUGAGCAACUUGUAGACUUAACACCCGACUGUAGAAUCCCUUCUAUUGUGUGCUGGAAGAUCGCUGGACUUGAAGCAACUCCAAAUGGUGGCCUGUUUGUCCAAAGCCCAGGCUGACCCCCCACCCCUUCAACCUUUGCAGCAAUGCUGGCAGCACUAUUUCCCAAAGACAACCUCUGGAUAUGACGCUGAGCACGUGCACUCAACUUCUUCUUUGGUCGACCAUGGCGAGGCCUGUUCUGAGUGGAACCUGUCCUGUUAAACCGCUGUAUGGUCUUGGCCACCGUGCUGCAGCUCAGUGUCAGGGUCUUGGUAAUCUUCUUAAAGCCUAGGCCAUUUUUAUGUAGAGCAAGAAUUCUUUUUUUUCACAUCCUCAGAGAGUUCUUUGCCUUGAGGUGCCAUGUCGAACUUCCAGUGACCAGUAUGAGGGAGUGUGAGAGUGAUGACACCAAAUUUUACACACCUGCUCCCCAUUCACACCUGAGACCUUGUAACACUAACAAGUCACAUGACACC